Molecule: regulatory RNA element, 238 nt
Organism: Enterococcus hirae ATCC 9790
Lineage: Bacteria; Bacillati; Bacillota; Bacilli; Lactobacillales; Enterococcaceae
Rfam family: T-box leader
About the family: Uncharged tRNA acts as the effector for transcription antitermination of genes in the T-box leader family. T-boxes are found upstream of many aminoacyl-tRNA synthetase genes and some amino acid biosynthetic genes usually in Gram-positive bacteria.
Source: Rfam
UUUUUUGCAAUGAUGUAGUAAGUACAGUUGGAAAUCUUUUAACAGAGAGCUUCGGGAGCUGAGAAGAAGCAAAGAGGAACGAUUGGAAAAUGGCUACUGAGCAUUUUACCCCAAGCAUUUUGUGAGGCGGUAACGGCUGCGACCGGUAUCUCGCUAGAGUAUGUUUGUACUUGAAGAGGAGCGACAUGUGAAUGUGGCUUGAAUAUGAGGUGGUAACACGCAAAAAGGCGUCCUCAAG